UUUAUUUCACAAAGACAUAAUCCAUGUUACCAAAAAUUUAUCAAGAAGCGUGGGCUUAAAUAUUUGAAUAAAUCAAUUGAAUUAAAUAACAAACUACACUCAUUCACACACCCUAUAAAUUGUACAAAACGUUCUCCAACUAAAUGAAAAUUUUGUGUUUCCAUCCAUAUGCAAGAUACAUAGAAAAUAAAAUAAUUUAACGACUGCAAUUGGAAUUGAAAUAGUUGAACUCACUAUAAAAUCACUAAGAAAAUAAAGAUAAUAACCAUCUCUAGUGUAUACAUUAAAUAAAAAAACCCUCAAUUUGAUAAGAACUAAAUCUGCACAUUAAACAAAAAAAACCUCAAUUUGCUAAGAACUAAAACAACAAUUUCAGACCAUCAUUUUGUAUUUCUAUUAUUGAAUCUUCUAUUAUUGUCAAACAACCAAGAAAAGAAUUUUUUUAAUCAAAAGAAUUCAAUUGAGAUAUAAAAAUACAUAAACAUGUAAUGAAGAAGGGAAAAAUAGUACCUCUAACCCCUCUUAUACUCUGACGGAACUUCAGCGGGUGGUGGCAAUAGAGACGGAGUCUCGACAGAGCUUCAGCGCAGCCGCUUGUUGGUGGCAGCGGUGGGUUUGGGUGAGGAAGGUUUGAGUGAGAGAGAGAAGAGAGAAGGAAGAAAAGUAAGAAAGAAGUGCGCUAAUAGGGUUUUAAAAAAUAUUUCCGACUGAAUCAGUCGCUAAUUUGGUCAAAGCAGUCAACCGUACUUUACUAAAAUUUCCAACUGAAUCGGUCGCUACUUUUUUAUUAAAAAAAAUUUAUUCCUGACCGAAUUGGUCGUUAAUAGUAGCGCGAAAUUUUCCGCCAAAAUUUACGGCAGAUAUAGACGGAAUAUUAGUCGCAAAUAUUAGUAAAAAUUGAAAAUAAAUUUUUAUGUAUUUUCGACUGAUUCCGCCGGAAAUUUCCGACUACUUUUUUCAGUCGAAAAAUUUCAAUCUGAAAUUGGCUGUUUUUUAGUAGUGUUCAUUCUGCUGACCAGCUAGCUGAUAUGCUCACAAAAGCACUAGCCAAACCGGCCUUUGAAUGCAGUUUGUUCAAGUUAGGCUUAGUGACACAUAGCCUAACUUGAGGGGACGUAUUGGAUCACCAGUAUUUUCCAUCAUCCAUAUUCAAGUCUUCAUCGAUAAUGCAGCAAUGAAGUCGUACUAAAUCUUAAUCUUUUCACUUCGUCGUUGUCAAUGUUUACUUGCUUGGUUAACUUUGUCAUCACGGCUUCAUUAAGAAAAUUAUAUUCAUCUAUACACAAAGAAAAUUGAGAUUGG
This 1302-nucleotide long non-coding RNA is filed under the name Nicotiana benthamiana. RNAcentral describes it as "long non-coding RNA (NBEN_LNC025430)". Lineage: Eukaryota; Viridiplantae; Streptophyta; Magnoliopsida; Solanales; Solanaceae. The record is from RNAcentral.